AUUGAACGCUGGCGGCAGGCUUAACACAUGCAAGUCGAGCGGGGUGAUGGUGCUUGCACUAUCACUUAGCGGCGGACGGGUGAGUAAUGCUUAGGAAUCUGCCUAUUAGUGGGGGACAACAUCUCGAAAGGGAUGCUAAUACCGCAUACGUCCUACGGGAGAAAGCAGGGGAGCACUUGUGACCUUGAGCUAAUAGAUGAUCCUAAGUCGGAUUAGCUAGUUGGUGGGGUAAAGGCCUACCAAGGCGACGAUCUGUAGCGGGUCUGAGAGGAUGAUCCGCCACACUGGGACUGAGACACGGCCCAGACUCCUACGGGAGGCAGCAGUGGGGAAUAUUGGACAAUGGGGGGAACCCUGAUCCAGCCAUGCCGCGUGCGUGAAGAAGGCCUUAUGGUUGUAAAGCACUUUAAGCGAGGAGGAGGCUCUUUUGGUUAACACCCAAGAUGAGUGGACGUUACUCGCAGAAUAAGCACCGGCUAACUCUGUGCCAGCAGCCGCCGCAG
Molecule: ribosomal RNA, 503 nt
Filed under: uncultured bacterium
Lineage: Bacteria
Description: partial 16S ribosomal RNA
Rfam family: Bacterial small subunit ribosomal RNA
Source: RNAcentral